ACGCCGCGGGCGCCGGGGUCGGAGACGGAGCCGGGGACCCAAUUCCCCGGGGUGAAUCGGCAUCAGGUCGACCGCGGCGCGCGGGUGCCCACAGGGGGCGCCGGUACCGGGGUCGUGAGGUGUCGUAGGGCGAGACUUCCGGCCCGAACCCGUCAGCUCACCCGGUAGACGGCCAGGAAGAAGGA
RNAcentral lists this small RNA (185 nucleotides) under Streptacidiphilus jiangxiensis. RNAcentral's name for it is "c-di-AMP sequence". The stretch from base 30 to 166 matches the Rfam family "c-di-AMP riboswitch aptamer (ydaO/yuaA leader)", at positions 30 to 114 of the family's 134-position model. From Rfam's summary of the family: This family represents a conserved RNA structure found upstream of the ydaO and yuaA genes in Bacillus subtilis and related genes in other bacteria. The ydaO/yuaA element is thought to act as a genetic "off" switch for the ydaO and yuaA genes in its native state. It is believed that the element may be triggered during osmotic shock leading to activation of ydaO, a predicted amino acid transporter gene, and members of the yuaA-yubG operon which code for KtrA and KtrB K+ transporters. The record is from RNAcentral. Lineage: Bacteria; Bacillati; Actinomycetota; Actinomycetes; Kitasatosporales; Streptomycetaceae.